GACGAACGCUGGCGGCGUGCUUAACACAUGCAAGUCGAACGGAAAGGCCCUGCUUUCAGGGUACUCGAGUUGCCAACGGGUGAGUAACACGUGGGUGGUCUGCCCUCCACUUCGGGAUAAGCCUCGGCGACUGGGUGUAAUACCUGACAGGAGCCAUAUUUAGUGUGAUGGUUGGAUAGUUUUUUCGGUGUAUGAUGAGCUCGCGACCUAUCAGCUUGUUGGUGGGGUAAUGGCCUACCAAGGCGGCGGCGGGUAGCCGGCCUGCGUGGGUGGACGGCGACAUUGGGACUGAGAGGCGGCCCAGACAGCUACGGGAGGCAGAAGUGGGGAAGACUGAACGAGGGGCGCAGGGCUGGUGAAGAGGGGCCGCGGGGGGGAAGACGGCCUUAGGGUGGAAAAAUCCAUGCGCUAGGGACGAAGCAUUUUGUGACGGUACCUAGAUAAGAAGCCACGGCUAACUACGUG
RNAcentral lists this ribosomal RNA (465 nucleotides) under uncultured bacterium. RNAcentral's name for it is "partial 16S ribosomal RNA". It matches the Rfam family "Bacterial small subunit ribosomal RNA", at positions 28 to 507 of the family's 1533-position model. The record is from RNAcentral.